This 480-nucleotide long non-coding RNA is filed under the name Mytilus galloprovincialis (Mediterranean mussel). The record is from RNAcentral. Lineage: Eukaryota; Metazoa; Mollusca; Bivalvia; Mytilida; Mytilidae.
UUGAAAACAAUAGCGGAUGGCACCCUUCCCCCAUUGCCAGGGUAACGGCAGCCAUUUUGAAAAUUCUUCAGUCAAAGAGUGCAUCUACACUUGCAAAUUAACAUUCUUUUAAAGUUUCAUAAAUUUUGGUGUUUUUUGAAAUUUUUGACAUUUUUGCAGUUUCCAUGGUAACGGCGGCCAUUUUGAAAAUUCCGAAGUCAAACUGUAAAUCAGCACAUGCCACUUACCAUUCCUAUGAAUUUUUUUCCACUUUGGAACACUUUGAUGUUUUUCACAUUUUUGCUGUUUCCAUGGUAACGGUGGCCAUCUUGACCAUUCCAAAGUCAGAGGGACAACUUUACAUGGUGGUCAACAUUAUACCAUAGUUCCAUCAACUUUGGUCCAUUCUAUUCUGAGAACAGCUCCGGACAAAAAUAGUGGAAGAAAAAUAAUAAAAACUAGAAUUGCUAUUGCAAGCAAUAGCGGAUGUCACCCUUCCCC